Molecule: ribosomal RNA, 1412 nt
Filed under: metagenome
Description: bacterial LSU rRNA
Rfam family: Bacterial large subunit ribosomal RNA
Source: RNAcentral
AAAAUCCGGGAUCUUGUUAAUGCCGAGAGCUGAUGACGAGCGUUCUUUAGAAUGCGAAGUGGUUGAUGCCAUGCUUCCAAGAAAAUCUUCUAAGCUUCAGAUAAUUAGGAACCGUACCCCAAACCGACACAGGUGGUUGGGUAGAGAAUACCAAGGCGCUUGAGAGAACUCGGGUGAAGGAACUAGGCAAAAUGGCACCGUAACUUCGGGAGAAGGUGCGCUGGUGAGGGUGAAGUAUUUACUACGUAAGCCUUUGCUAGUCGAAGAUACCAGGCCGCUGCGACUGUUUAUUAAAAACACAGGACUCUGCAAACACGAAAGUGGACGUAUAGGGUCUGACGCCUGCCCGGUGCCGGAAGGUUAAUUGAUGGGGUUAGCGCAAGCGAAGCUCUUGAUCGAAGCCCCGGUAAACGGCGGCCGUAACAAUAACGGUCCUAAGGUAGCGAAAUUCCUUGUCGGGUAAGUUCCGACCUGCACGAAUGGCGUAACGAUGGCGGCGCUGUCUCCACCCGAGACUCAGUGAAAUUGAAAUCGCUGUGAAGAUGCAGUGUAUCCGCGGCAAGACGGAAAGACCCCGUGAACCUUUACUAUAGCUUUGCACUGGACUUUGAAGUUGUUUGUGUAGGAUAGGUGGGAGGCUUUGAAGCAGAGACGCUAGUUUCUGUGGAGCCAACCUUGAAAUACCACCCUGGCAACUUUGAGGUUCUAACUCUGGUCCGUUAUCCGGAUCGAGGACAGUGUAUGGUGGGUAGUUUGACUGGGGCGGUCUCCUCCUAAAGAGUAACGGAGGAGUACGAAGGUGCGCUCAGACCGGUCGGAAAUCGGUCGUAGAGUAUAAAGGCAAAAGCGCGCUUAACUGCGAGACCAACAAGUCGAGCAGGUACGAAAGUAGGUCUUAGUGAUCCGGUGGUUCUGUAUGGAAGGGCCAUCGCUCAACGGAUAAAAGGUACUCCGGGGAUAACAGGCUGAUACCGCCCAAGAGUUCAUAUCGACGGCGGUGUUUGGCACCUCGAUGUCGGCUCAUCACAUCCUGGGGCUGAAGCCGGUCCCAAGGGUACGGCUGUUCGCCGUUUAAAGCGGUACGCGAGCUGGGUUUAGAACGUCGUGAGACAGUUCGGUCCCUAUCUGUCGUGGACGUUUGAGAUUUGAGAGGGGCUGCUCCUAGUACGAGAGGACCGGAGUGGACGAACCUCUGGUGUUCCGGUUGUCACGCCAGUGGCAUUGCCGGGUAGCUAUGUUCGGAAGAGAUAACCGCUGAAAGCAUCUAAGCGGGAAACUUGCCUCAAGAUGAGAUCUCACUGGAGCUUUAAGCUCCCUAAAGGGCCGUCGAAGACUACGACGUUGAUAGGUUGGGUGUGUAAGUGCUGUGAGGCAUUGAGCUAACCAAUACUAAUUGCCCGUGAGGCUUGACC